Molecule: ribosomal RNA, 253 nt
Filed under: uncultured bacterium
Lineage: Bacteria
Description: partial 16S ribosomal RNA
Rfam family: Bacterial small subunit ribosomal RNA
Source: RNAcentral
UACGUAGGGUGCGAGCGUUGUCCGGAAUUAUUGGGCGUAAAGAGCUUGUAGGCGGUUUGUCGCGUCUGCUGUGAAAUUUCGGGGCUCAACCCCGAACUUGCAGUGGGUACGGGCAGACUAGAGUGUGGUAGGGGAGACUGGAAUUCCUGGUGUAGCGGUGAAAUGCGCAGAUAUCAGGAGGAACACCGGUGGCGAAGGCGGGUCUCUGGGCCGAAAUUGACGCUGAGGAGCGAAAGCGUGGGGAGCAAACAGG